AGUGAGAGAGAGAGACAGAGAGAAAGGUCUUCCUUUGCCGUUGGUUCACCCUCCAAUGGCCGCCGCGGCCGGCGCGCUGCGGCCGGCGCACCGCGCUGAUCCGAUGGCAGGAGCCAGGAGCCAGGUGCUUUUCCUGGUCUCCCAUGGGGUGCAGGGCCCAAGCACCUGGGCCAUCCUCCACUGCACUCCCUGGCCACAGCAGAGGGCUGGCCUGGAAGAGGGGCAACCGGGACAGAAUCCGGCGCCCCGACCGGGACUAGAACCCGGUGUGCCGGCGCCGCUAGGCGGAGGAUUAGCCUAGUGAGCCGCGGCGCCGGCCUGACCUCUCUCUUCAUACCUGCUCUGGUAUGGCACUCUGCAUCCCACUCUGGUUGCUACCAGCUGCCCAGAUGUCUAGCUCUGUCUGCUAGUUCUGGUCUUACUAACUUUACAGCCAGAUUUAAUUUGGCUCAACCUUUGGUCCUCUCCAGGUGACAGACUACAUUCUUCCUCUAGCACUUCCUGCCCUUGGUCAUUCUGAUUUAGGGCUCAGUGCAGUUUUCACUGCAUCUAGUCCCCAGGUACCCUUUAUCCUCAGUUCCUGAAUGAAUCACUCUAUCUGGCAAUCCCUGUUGGCUGGGCUCAGUUCCCUACAUCCAAGCUAUUGUGUUGAUCUCUAGUCCUCAGCCAGAUCUCCCUCCUCUGGCUGACCGCCUACAUCUGCCAUUGUGUGCCCACCUCCUCAUUCCUGUCUUCUUCUUCACUUUCAAAACUUGCUUUGGAGAAGCAUCUCAGCUGUCAGACAUCUCACUGUCCCCCCAGGGGGCCUCACCAGCUCUGGGCUCAGACUUGGCAUGGCUGGUGCCAUCAGGUGAGAGACACUCCCCUAGACUCCUGUAGAGUAACUGACCUGGUGAACCUCAGCUCCUUCAUUCCCGUGCCUUGGCUGCACUGCCAAGGAGAGAGAUUUAGAAGUGCCCAGGGCCACCUCAAUGGGACUUCUGGCUGAGUGUUUUGGAUCUCUUGUGUACUUUGCAAUUUGAAAUUAACCACAGACUCGACUCCCAAAGUUAAAAACAGUGUAAAACCUAGCAUUUCUAAAAGUGUGGGUCUGUGACCAUCUGAAUCAGAGUUGUCAUUAAAAAUAUAGAUUCUAGCCCAUCACUUCAGAAUCCUAAGGGGAUUAUUAGAUUGAUUUCUGGGCACAACAACAUGUGAUAGCUACUGAUUUCAUCUGUCUCCCAGGAGCAGCAGUAUUCCAUUUAAGCCAUCUACAGCAGUCAAGUGACCCCUCUGGUCUAGGUAGUCUUUGAAAACAGGAGCUUCCAGAAUAUCAAAGAAACCUUGAAAUUACACAUGUCUGCCCUAUUCAAAGAAAGCACCAACGAAUUUGUUGGGAGCCUUCCUUGCCCCACACUAUGACUAGACACAGUUGGGGAAACUGGCUGACUAAAACACCCGACUAAUUCAGACUUUCAAGUGAAGGCACAUACUUUCCUUUGUGUCUCAGGGAAACAGAGACAGCAUGGGGACAGCUUGCAACAGGUCUCACCUUGUCAGCGAGGAGCUGUCAGAGUUGGCAGGUGAGUCUGCUCUGACGGCUGUGACAAGGGAAGGUACAUGUGGUGAAGAAAAAGUGGGUCACUGUUUUAAGAUAAAAAAAUUGACAUGAAAUUUUAUGUGAAAGCAAAUCUUUGUGGGAGGUACCUAUCAAAUUAAGAGAAGCUUUUGGAGAAGAAGUAAGGUCGAAAUAUGUAAAGACAGUAGGGAUAAUAGCUGGAAUAUCGAGAGGAUCUGUAUAGAACCACAGAUUUCUGACAGCUAGGGCCCUCUGAAAACAUGUAGACCAGUGGUUUCCAAUGUUUUCUUUAGCCCCUUGAGCCCAUUUGUCAACCAGAUGUCUUAUGCAGAAAUCUAAGAUAUUAAAUAGAUAAACAGAGUUAUUCUGUUGAAGUAUGUGUGUGUAGAUUAGUCAGGACAGGCUAAGUUAUGUACAAUAACAAAUAAUCCAAAACUUUCAUCAGCUUCCAUAAUGUUCCUUGCUCGUGCUCUAUUACAAAUGGGCAUGGGUUCAAUUCCACAGCUCCACAGCUCCUCAUGCCAGGACCCAGGCUGACAGGGCAGCUGCCAUCUUGAACAUUGUUGGUUGUCAUGGCAGCAGAACUCUGAGGACUAUUGCAUUGCCGAUUAAAUGCUCCAGUUGACAGGAACACUUCUAGCCAUCACAUGACCCUACUCAGCCACAACGGAGCCAAUGAAUACAAUCCUACCACGUGCAACAAGGAAUUUCCUACUGAAAACACUUGGCGGACACUACCUUUGACAACCACUGUGAAGGUGAAUGUGUUUGUGUAUGUGUGUGCACAAGUUCUCAUCCACCCCUAGGAUUAUCCCCAGCUGUCUCCAUGGCAGUAGUUCAAAACUUACUGAAUCAGCUCCCUUAUUUUAAGGAACUGAGAUCAAGUAAUAUCAAAACCUGAACCAGAGUGGAGCUCUCUUAUCUCUCAUUCCAAGGCUCCUCCCAUUUUAAGCUGAUUAGGUGAUGUGUGUGUGGGGGAGGGACAGGAAAAGAGAAAGAGACAAAAUGGUGACUCAAGAGUUAAAUGCAGAUAAAGAUGAGAAAUUAUUCUGAAAGGAAAUGUGAACUUGGAGGAAAUUUUCCGUGAAGGCUUGCCGUGCAUUCCAAGUGACAAAUAGAUGCAGUAAAGACAUUAUAUUUGCUCUGAUUACCCAAGGGAUGCCGGGCAAUGGGAAGAGUUUUUGAAGAGAACAGCAACUGAUGAUGAAACGCGGUGUUCCUGAUGUGGGAAGGAAGCCAGGCAGAAACCAUCAGCUUGGCUGAGACCUGGGAGAAAGACUCAUGUUGAGAUCACAAGGGAGGAGGGGACCAACUGACGCUGCACAAGUCAAGGGCGCCGUAGAGCGAGCAUGUAUCCCACACACAGGAUUAAACAGUUCUGCUGGGCUCAACAAACAUCAACUGUUACCCACUCUGUCCUAAGCACAGUUAAGCGCCAGGAACCCAGAGACAGCCACACACAGCCCGAGGGAGAAACAGUGAGGCCUGAACUGGGGUGAGGGAAGAAACCACAAGGCUUUGAGACUAGUAAUGGGCAUGUUGGGGUGGGGGUGAUGAUAAAUGAAGGUGCACCUAGGAUACCUCCUAAACUUGUAUCUUCUUGGGUUUUCCAAUAUGCAUUUGGGUCAGAAUAGUUCUUCAGGCAGGUCUGCUGUCUACAAUGGAUAUGUAAGAUUUCUGUAUUCAUGUGCUCCUUUCUCAUUGUGACCACCUCUCCCCUAAAUACACGUACCCCUGCAGGGGCACAUACAUCUCCAUAUGUCCCGGGAGGGCCAGUAUCCCUUCCUUCCCUGCACCACCAUUUCACAGCCACUGCUCCCACUCACCCUCUGCAGUACAGCCUGAAUUAUCUUUCUCUCUCUAGAAUCAACAGCAAAAACACUAUGAAUGAGAGCCUUUCCUAACCUCAUCUGACCCCACCGCUUCCUAAAUUCCUCUGGGAGUAUAGUGAGGCUUACAUGAGGCUUCCUCCAGUCUGGAUCAUUCCUGGUAUUUCUACCUCCAUUUCUCUCCAUUCGCGCACACAUUCAUUCAUUCAUGCUGCAAGUUCAUGAAAUGACUUGAAGUUCUUUUGAUGCUUAAGGCAACUUCCCACCUCGGUGCUUUUGCAUCUACCUUGGACUCUGCACCUUGGCCAGCAGGUGAAACACUGCCUGCUAAUCUGCCCACUCUUUCCUUGUGCUGCCACAGUGGCCAGUGCCUGACUCUGUCCUGAUGACACUGCUUAAAAUUAUCUGUUUACUUGGAGGAAAGCUAGUCACUCAGCCUCUAGAGAGAUUAUGUGAAUUUUCCCAUUUUCAAUAUUAAUAAGCUUAAAAUUUUCUACAUGCUCUAUCAUUUUUUUCUUCUGUAAAAUGGGGAUAAUGAUAUCCAUAGAUUUAUCCUGAAGAUCAAGAUAAUACAAGUAAAGUACUAGCUAAUUGCAGGUGUUAGCUAUAUGAAUAUAUGAAUAAUAUGGAUUAAGAAGAUGUUAUAUUACACCAUGCUAUCAGAAUUGAGGGGAGAUGUCUUAUUUUAUGUAGCUUUUGUUUUUCAGUCAGUGCUUAGCAAAAUGCAAGGAAAACAGGAAACCUCCAAAUAUUUUUAAAUGAAUAAACCAGUUAGGAAAACAUCAAAUUGUGUUAAGUGAUUGAUCAGAUUAAGUAGACAAGAAAAUGUCAUACAUAUUUCAGAUUUACAAGUAACAUGUUUGAAAAAGCAAAACUUGCCCCCACCAAAGGAGGUGCUUCGUUUGUUUAGAAACUUCAUUGAUGUGAAUCUGCCAGUCUGUUGAUGGUGCCAGGGCAGGUGCUGCACUCCCUUGCACCCUGGAGAGGAGCGUGGGAGCUGGGGCACAUGGGGGCUUUGCUCUCAGCCCCACCAGGUAUGCACCCAGGCUCUCCUGCUUCUAGCCCCAGGACCUUGUAUUGUUCAGGACCUUGUCCUCGAGGUGGUUACCUAAGCUUUAGGAGUGUUAGUGUCCUGGCAAAGAUGUGGAGUUGUUGCCAGCCUAACGGUCUCAUUGGAGUGUUGGGAUGAGAACAGGUGUAUCUAUGGCUCUCAGGGCUGCUCAUUAAUGGUGACUUAUUUUACCUUGCAUUGCCAGGUGCUUUAUUCCGGUAGUAAACUUGUGAGUAGCUUAGAGGUGGGGAUUCAAGGUCUGGGUAAGUCGAGCAGCUGAGAUAUCCAUUCAUGGAAGCCCGAGCAGGACCAGGGGAGUCUCAUUAAAUGCAGCUGUCUGUCCAGUCUCUGCCACUGUGUGCCUGUUACAUGACCUUCUAUUUCUUCUCUGUUUCAGCACUUCCUCUCAUUCUUGCCUUAUUCACUGGCUUCUGUUUACCAUCUGCCUGCACGUGGCUGCACGUGUAACUGCUCUGUGGCACCACCAGGAACGCCAUCUCAGUUUGUGUGGAGUUCGUCACUUGCCCUCAAUUCCAGUCUUCUCUGGGUCAGUUUCUUGAAGGAGUCAUUGGAAUAAAUGUCAACUCUGGCGCUUGGCUGACCACGUACUGGAAGAAAAUGAAGUUAGAUGUCAGUGGCAUCUGAGACAGUGACUGUGCCUCUCGAUGGUGGAGCUCCCCACUCUCCUUCCCCUCAUUCCUGCCCAUCACACCUCAAGGUGUCCAGUGGCCGUGGGCCUACAGUCAGGACUGGAGGGGCUGCGGCCUGACCUCAGCAGGCCGUGUCACAUACUUUGUUAUGGUGACAGAAAGCCGACUGACACAGAGAAAAAUUUUAACCACCUGGAGCCCCUGAAAAUUCUGCCGCAGGAAGUUGACACAUUCACUCAUGCACCCGGUCAUCCGUGUGUGCAUUCAGCAAAUACUCAGCACACAGCAGAGAGCUACGGUCUCAUUUCUGCGCUGGUGCUGAGCACGGGACUGGUCUAUGGCCUCCUGGAACUUAGAUUCUGGUGCGUCAGACGGAGAAUCGAACACCAGUAGUCACCUCGUUGUGCUAAGUGCUUUGCAGGCGCAAGCUCAAACCUUCUCGCCAUGACAUUAGGAGGUCGGGGGAACCACUGCUGCCAUUUUACAGAUAAAGAAAGUGAGUCCUAGGGAAGGUCUAAAGAAGAAAUGUCUAUUCAGCAGUGCUGUCCAGCCAUUGAAUGAAAGAGGAGCUGCUCAGAAGCUGUGCGACCAUUUGUUGAGGUGUAACCAUCAACCGCUUGCACCCUUUCCUUUCUUGUUAAUGUAAGAGACGGGACGAGAGCUUAUCCUACUGCCCUGUGGUGAGUUACUGCUUGGCUUUCUCCACCGAGUACGAUCUCCUUGAGGGCAGCACUGUGGGCCUGAGAGUCAUCUCUACAUCACCAGUACCCAGCAGUGGGUCUGGCACGGACAGGCCCUCAGGAAAAGUUCAGUGGAGGAAUAAGUGAACAGAGGGUUAGAUGAGGCUAGUCGGAGGAUUUCUGUUAGGAUCCACCCUACGACUCAGCCAGGAGUUGCUUUGGGCCCUUGAAUAAAGUGAAAGAAGGAGAGCUUUCAGUUAGAGGAAAGUUCCCACUGCUGGUCUUCUCUCCCUCCGUUUGCCUUUCAGGGACUUUGGGGCACUGAGAUAGUAAUUAUAGCAACAGUCAAGGGGGCCAGCGCUGUGGUGUAGCGGGUGAAGCUGCCGCCUGCAGUACCAGCAGACCAUAUGGGUGCUGGUUGAGUCCCGGCUGCUCCACUUCCAAUCCAGCUCUCUGCUAUGGCCUGGGAUAGCAGUAGAAGAUGGCCCAAGCCCUUGGGCCCCUGCACCACGUGGGAGACCCGAAAGAAGCUUGGCACAGCUCUGGCCAUUGUGGUCAACUGGGGAGUGAACCAGCAGAUGGAAGACCCCUCUCUCUCUCUGCCUCUCCUUCUCUCUCUGUGUAACUCUGCCUUUCAAAUAGAUAAAUAAAU
Molecule: non-coding RNA, 6420 nt
Organism: Oryctolagus cuniculus (rabbit)
Lineage: Eukaryota; Metazoa; Chordata; Mammalia; Lagomorpha; Leporidae
Source: RefSeq, a predicted model, not a curated record